This 479-nucleotide unclassified non-coding RNA is filed under the name Hevea brasiliensis (rubber tree). Lineage: Eukaryota; Viridiplantae; Streptophyta; Magnoliopsida; Malpighiales; Euphorbiaceae. The record is from RNAcentral.
AGAAUACGUGUUUUUUUUUCCCCUCCUAAUAUCCGAGCAUGAUAAACAAUCUUCGCUGGAAUUUAUUUUUUUUAACUGCCAAAUAUAGCAUUAAACUAGCCAGAAAAAGCAUCAGAAUACAAAUAUCUCAGUAAUUCCGAAGGGUUAUUUUCCCUUCAAACGCAACUUUGCAAAGUAACUUGAUUUGUUUUCCUACUAGUCUUUGACAAUGAGAUCUGUGAAAACAAAGGGAAAAAAGCCUUAAUGCCCUGAACAGCUGCCUUAUAUCCCACCCUAUAUCUUCCAUGGAUGUUGAUAGAGCAGAGAACAGAAUCUGGGAAUCUGUUUCUAGCACAAUUGUUGUAGAACCCAUGUCCCUGGCCAAAGAAAUGGCUUCUAGCAUUGCUUUAGCUUCCGCUACUAAAGGAGAAUUAUACUGAAAUUUCUUUGCUACUCCAUCGAGCAAAAGGCUUUGAUGAUUCCGAGCUGCCACAACAAUG